UUAAAAGUGACCUCCGUCCUACCACAUGUU
RNAcentral lists this non-coding RNA (30 nucleotides) under Rattus norvegicus (Norway rat). Lineage: Eukaryota; Metazoa; Chordata; Mammalia; Rodentia; Muridae. The record is from RNAcentral.